GCGCUCGUAGCUCAACUGGAUAGAGCAACAGACUUCGGAUCUGUAGGUUAUGGGUUCGAUUCCUAUCGGGCGCACCA
This 77-nucleotide transfer RNA is filed under the name Campylobacter coli. Its description in RNAcentral is "tRNA-Arg". It matches the Rfam family "tRNA". From Rfam's summary of the family: Transfer RNA (tRNA) molecules are approximately 80 nucleotides in length. Their secondary structure includes four short double-helical elements and three loops (D, anti-codon, and T loops). Lineage: Bacteria; Pseudomonadati; Campylobacterota; Epsilonproteobacteria; Campylobacterales; Campylobacteraceae. The record is from RNAcentral. RNAcentral also lists the same sequence under 48 other names.